UUGGUCGCUAGUGUAUUUACUUGUCUUGCAUCAUACACAACAGUGCACUAGUAUCGAUUGAAUUCAUGGUGUUCCAAAAAACGAAAACUUCAUUCGUAUCAACAGAUUAAUCAUAAAGGGAGGAACAAUUUGACGAAAAUAUCCACGUCCACGUGUAACAGAGGUUGCCCAGCGGAUGCACGUUGAGCCAUCGUAAAUUCCGUGAGGUUGGCACGUUCAGCUCGGUGCCAUCGCGAGUUUUUUCUACCGCGGGAUUCCAUCUACGAAGAACGAGAGGAAAUCUUCUUUUUCAAAGCGGACAUACCUAACCUAUAAACAUAACGCGUUGCAUAUAACCAGGUGCAAGUGCCUUACCAGAGAGGAAAUAAAGCCCUAGCCAUUGGGCACGCCUCUCCUUCUCGUUGGGUGCAGAGGUUAAACCGUCUAGAGGAAGAAGAAGAAGAAGAAGAUGAAUAGCAGAAGGAAGAAAAUUUCCAGUUACUGGAUUCUCGGUGUAUUCCACAUUUAAAAUCUGUGAAAUGAGAAAUCUCAAGAUCCUUUUCUAUCUCGGGGCAGUUUUAUUACGAUUACACGUAACAGAUAAGGGAAGCAAAAGUCAAAGCAGAGAAAGAUAACAAUAACGCGGAUGAACUCUGCCGAUAAGCUGAAUGCGACCUUGGUACCGAGUUAGGUUACGGCCUAGGCUGGUUCAAAGGUCAUGCGUUAUACCGAUACACCGAUGAUUGGCGGAAUGCGCCGUUUUACGACUGCCACUACGACCAGCUACGACGAGCGUUGAAUACGAGCAUGUGGCCGGCUGCGCAGCGUUCAUGGGAAGCAUCAUCGCUACGAUCUAACCUACCCUCGAAGGACAGAAAGAAAGAAAGGAAACAGCGCGCGUAAUUACCCGAAGCCAGUUAUAA
Molecule: long non-coding RNA, 902 nt
Organism: Cephus cinctus (wheat stem sawfly)
Lineage: Eukaryota; Metazoa; Arthropoda; Insecta; Hymenoptera; Cephidae
Exons: 4
Source: RefSeq, a predicted model, not a curated record